This 466-nucleotide ribosomal RNA is filed under the name uncultured bacterium. Its description in RNAcentral is "partial 16S ribosomal RNA". It matches the Rfam family "Bacterial small subunit ribosomal RNA", at positions 28 to 505 of the family's 1533-position model. The record is from RNAcentral.
GACGAACGCUGGCGGCGUGCUUAACACAUGCAAGUCGAACGGAAAGGCCCUGCUUUUGUGGGGUGCUCGAGUGGCGAACGGGUGAGUAACACGUGAGUAACCUGCCCUUGACUUUGGGAUAACUUCAGGAAACUGGGGCUAAUACCGGAUAGGAGCUCCUGCUGCAUGGUGGGGGUUGGAAAGUUUCGGCGGUUGGGGAUGGACUCGCGGCUUAUCAGCUUGUUGGUGGGGUAGUGGCUUACCAAGGCUUUGACGGGUAGCCGGCCUGAGAGGGUGACCGGCCACAUUGGGACUGAGGUACGGCCCAGACUGCUACGGGAGGCAGCAGUGGGGAAUAUUGCACAAUGGGCGGAAGCCUGAUGCAGCAACGCCGCGUGCGGGAUGACGGCCUUCGGGUUGUAAACCGCUUUCGCCUGUGACGAAGCGUGAGUGACGGUAAUGGGUAAAGAAGCACCGGCUAACUACG